CGGAGGAAAAGAAACCAACAGGGAUUGCCUUAGUAGCGGCGAGUGAAGCGGCAAAAGCUCAAAUUUGAAAUCUGGCACUUUCAGUGUCCGAGUUGUAAUUUGAAGAAGGUAUCUUUGGGUCUGGCUCUUGUCUAUGUUUCUUGGAACAGAACGUCACAGAGGGUGAGAAUCCCGUGCGAUGAGAUGUCCCAGACCUAUGUAAAGUUCCUUCGAAGAGUCGAGUUGUUUGGGAAUGCAGCUCUAAGUGGGUGGUAAAUUCCAUCUAAAGCUAAAUAUUGGCGAGAGACCGAUAGCGAACAAGUACAGUGAUGGAAAGAUGAAAAGAACUUUGAAAAGAGAGUGAAAAAGUACGUGAAAUUGUUGAAAGGGAAGGGCUUGAGAUCAGACUUGGUAUUUUGUAUGUUACUCUCUCGGGGGUGGCCUCUACAGUUUACCGGGCCAGCAUCAGUUUGAGCGGUAGGAUAAGUGCAAAGAAAUGUGGCACUGCUUCGGUAGUGUGUUAUAGUCUUUGUCGAUACUGCCAGCUUAGACUGAGGACUGCGGCUUCGGCCUAGGAUGUUGGCAUAAUGAUCUUAAGUCGCCCGUCUUGAACCACGGACCA
Molecule: ribosomal RNA, 601 nt
Filed under: Lodderomyces parapsilosis
Lineage: Eukaryota; Fungi; Ascomycota; Pichiomycetes; Serinales; Debaryomycetaceae
Description: eukaryotic LSU rRNA
Rfam family: Eukaryotic large subunit ribosomal RNA
Source: RNAcentral